Molecule: ribosomal RNA, 333 nt
Filed under: Triticum aestivum (bread wheat)
Lineage: Eukaryota; Viridiplantae; Streptophyta; Magnoliopsida; Poales; Poaceae
Description: partial small subunit ribosomal RNA
Source: RNAcentral
AUGGCGAAGCAUCACCCCGAUCUCAUCAUGUGCCGGAAGCAGCCCGGCAUCGCCAUCGGCCGCCUGUGUGAGAAGUGCGACGGCAAGUGCGUCAUCUGCGACUCGUACGUGCGCCCCUGCACCCUCGUCCGUGUCUGCGACGAGUGCAACUACGGCUCGUUCCAGGGGAGGUGCGUCAUCUGCGGAGGGGUCGGCAUCUCGGACGCCUACUACUGCAAGGAGUGCACGCAGCAGGAGAAGGACCGCGACGGGUGCCCCAAGAUCGUGAACCUGGGGAGCGCCAAGACCGACCUCUUCUAUGAGCGCAAGAAAUACGGUUUUAAGAAGCGAUAG